CCUACGGGUGGCAGCAGUGAGGAAUAUUGGUCAAUGGGCGCAAGCCUGAACCAGCCAAGUAGCGUGAGGGAUGAAGGCUCUAUGGAUUGUAAACUUCUUUUAUAAGGGAAUAAAGUGAGGGACGUGUCCCGUUUUGUAUGUACUUUAUGAAUAAGGAUCGGCUAACUCCGUGCCAGCAGCCGCGGUAAUACGGAGGAUCCGAGCGUUAUCCGGAUUUAUUGGGUUUAAAGGGUGCGUAGGUGGCCUUUUAAGUCAGCGGUGAAAGUCUGUGGCUCAACCGUAGAAUUGCCAUUGAUACUGGCAGUCUUGAGUAUAUUUGAGGCAGGCGGAAUUCGUGGUGUAGCGGUGAAAUGCUUAGAUAUCACGCAGAACCCCGAUUGCGAAGGCAGCCUACCAAGCCAUGACUGACACUGAUGCACGAAAGCGUGGGUAUCAAACAGGAUUAGAUACCCGUGUAGUC
Molecule: ribosomal RNA, 460 nt
Filed under: uncultured bacterium
Lineage: Bacteria
Description: partial 16S ribosomal RNA
Rfam family: Bacterial small subunit ribosomal RNA
Source: RNAcentral